Molecule: ribosomal RNA, 253 nt
Filed under: uncultured bacterium
Lineage: Bacteria
Description: partial 16S ribosomal RNA
Rfam family: Bacterial small subunit ribosomal RNA
Source: RNAcentral
UACGUAGGGUGCGAGCGUUAAUCGGAAUUACUGGGCGUAAAGCGUGCGCAGGCGGUGAUGUAAGACCGAUGUGAAAUCCCCGGGCUUAACCUGGGAACUGCAUUGGUGACUGCAUCGCUCGAGUAUGGCAGAGGGGGGUAGAAUUCCACGUGUAGCAGUGAAAUGCGUAGAGAUGUGGAGGAAUACCGAUGGCGAAGGCAGCCCCCUGGGUCAAUACUGACGCUCAUGCACGAAAGCGGGGGGAGCAAACAGG